Molecule: non-coding RNA, 104 nt
Organism: Lupinus angustifolius (narrow-leaved blue lupine)
Lineage: Eukaryota; Viridiplantae; Streptophyta; Magnoliopsida; Fabales; Fabaceae
Source: Rfam
GGGAAAUGAUGAGUGGGUUAAUCUCGCUAUUUUAAUGCGAGUUGGGUGUCCACCCAAGCCUGGUUACGACAAUUGGGCAUUCUCCUAUUUUCCAAUCUGAUCCC